GUGCUCGCUUUGGCAGCAUAUGUACUCUGUAUCAUUGGAAUGAUACAGAGAUUAGCAUGGCUCCUGUGCAAGGAUGACACCAAUUCCAAAGCAUUCCAUAUAAGAAAU
RNAcentral lists this small nuclear RNA (108 nucleotides) under Cercocebus atys (sooty mangabey). Lineage: Eukaryota; Metazoa; Chordata; Mammalia; Primates; Cercopithecidae. The record is from RNAcentral.